RNAcentral lists this unclassified non-coding RNA (218 nucleotides) under soil metagenome. RNAcentral describes it as "partial contains 5.8S ribosomal RNA, internal transcribed spacer 2, and large subunit ribosomal RNA". The record is from RNAcentral.
AACCUUAUGGACCUGCGGGCGUAUACCUGCGGAAGGAUCAUUACAAGUGACCCCGGUCUAACCACCGGGAUGUUCAUAACCCUUUGUUGUCCGACUCUGUUGCCUCCGGGGCGACCCUGCCUUCGGGCGGGGGCUCCGGGUGGACACUUCAAACUCUUGCGUAACUUUGCAGUCUGAGUAAACUUAAUUAAUAAAUUAAAACUUUCAACAACGGAUCU